RNAcentral lists this ribosomal RNA (255 nucleotides) under uncultured bacterium. Its description in RNAcentral is "partial 16S ribosomal RNA". It matches the Rfam family "Bacterial small subunit ribosomal RNA", at positions 524 to 776 of the family's 1533-position model. The record is from RNAcentral.
UACGUAGGUGACAAGCGUUGUCCGGAUUUACUGGGCGUAAAGAGCGCGCAGGCGGUCGAUCAAGUCGAGUGUGAAAGCCCCCGGCUCAACUGGGGAGGGUCAUUCGAUACUGAUCGACUCGAAGGCAGGAGAGGGUAGUGGAAUUCCCGGUGUAGUGGUGGAAAUGACGUAGAUAUCGGGAGGAACACCAGCGGCGAAGGCGGCCACCUGGACGGAUACUGACGCUGAGACGCGAAAGCGUGGGGAGCAAACAGG